CAUGCAAGUCGAGCGCGAAAGUUUUCUUCGGAAUACGAGUAGAGCGGCGCAAGGGUGAGUAGCGCGUGAGCGAUCUGCCCCCGACUGCGGGAUAGCCCCGGGAAACCGGGAUUAAUACCGCAUGGUGAUGACCAUUCGAUUGAUCAUCUAAAGGUUGACUCCGGUCGGGGAUGAGCUCGCGUCCCAUUAGCUUGUUGGUAGGGUAACGGCCUACCAAGGCCGAGACGGGUAGCUGGUCUGAGAGGACGGUCAGCCACACUGGGACUGAGACACUGCCCAGACUCCUACGGGAGGCUGCAGUCGAGAAUCUUCCGCAAUGGGCGCAAGCCUGACGGAGCGAUGCCGCGUGAGGGAUGACGGCCUUCGGGUUGUAAACCUCUGUCAGGGGGGACGAAAACAAUGACGGUACCCCCAGAGGAAGCCACGGCUAACUACGUGCCAGCAGCCGCGGUAAUACGUAGGUGGCGAGCGUUAUUCGGAAUUACUGGGCGUAAAGGGUCCGCAGGGGGUCUGUCAAGUCCGGCGUGAAAGCCCGAGGCUCAACUUCGGGUCGGCGUUGGAUACUGACGGACUUGAGUGCACGAUGGGAGAGCAGAAUUCCUGGUGUAGCGGUGGAAUGCGUAGAUAUCAGGAAGAAUACCGGCGGCGAAGGCGGCUCUCUGGCGUGCUACUGACCCUCAGGGGACGAAAGUGUGGGUAGCGAACAGGAUUAGAUACCCUGGUAGUCCACACCGUAAACGUUGUGUACUAGAUGCGGGCGGCGCUCCGGUGUUGUCCGUGUCCAAGUUAACGCGAUAAGUACACCGCCUGGGGACUACGGCCGCAAGGCUAAAACUCAAAGGAAUUGACGGGGGCCCGCACAAGCGGUGGAGCAUGUGGCUUAAUUCGAGGCAACGCGAAGAACCUUACCCGGGUUUGACAUAUAUCUGCCGUUCCGCGAAAUCGGAAUUUCUCUUCGGAGACGGAUAUACAGGUGCUGCAUGGCUGUCGUCAGCUCGUGCCGUGAGGUGUUCGGUUAAGUCCGGCAACGAGCGCAACCCAUAUUGUCAGUUGCUACCAGGUUAUGCUGGGCACUCUGGCAAGACUGCCCGUGUCAAGCGGGAGGAAGGCGUGGACGACGUCAAGUCAGUAUGGCCCUUACACCCGGGGCUGCACACGUGCUACAAUGGGCGGUACAGAGGGCUGCCAGGCCGCGAGGCCGCGCGAAUCCCUAAAACCGUCCCCAGUUCGGAUCGGAGUCUGCAAUUCGACUCCGUGAAGUCGGAAUCGCUAGUAAAGGCGUAUCAGCAAUGACGCCUUGAAUACGUUCCCGGGCCUUGUACACACCGCCCGUCACAUCAUGGAAGCCGGCUGCACCCGAAG
This 1362-nucleotide ribosomal RNA is filed under the name uncultured organism. Its description in RNAcentral is "bacterial SSU rRNA". It matches the Rfam family "Bacterial small subunit ribosomal RNA", at positions 54 to 1426 of the family's 1533-position model. The record is from RNAcentral.